RNAcentral lists this transfer RNA (77 nucleotides) under Omnitrophica bacterium RIFOXYB12_FULL_50_7. RNAcentral's name for it is "tRNA-Met". It matches the Rfam family "tRNA". Rfam says of the family: Transfer RNA (tRNA) molecules are approximately 80 nucleotides in length. Their secondary structure includes four short double-helical elements and three loops (D, anti-codon, and T loops). The record is from RNAcentral. RNAcentral also lists the same sequence under 4 other names. Lineage: Bacteria; Pseudomonadati; Candidatus Omnitrophota.
CGCGGGGUGGAGCAGCUCGGUAGCUCGUUGGGCUCAUAACCCAAAGGUCGCAGGUUCAAAUCCUGCCCCCGCUACCA